UACAGUUGAUGGCUGUGUGUCUCUCC
This 26-nucleotide non-coding RNA is filed under the name Homo sapiens (human). The record is from RNAcentral. Lineage: Eukaryota; Metazoa; Chordata; Mammalia; Primates; Hominidae.